GAUGAAGAACGCGGCGAAAUGCGAUAAGUAAUGCGAAUUGCAGAAUUCAGUGAGUCAUCGAAUCUUUGAACGCACAUUGCGCCCUGUGGUAUUCCGCAGGGCAUGCCUGUUCGAGCGUCAUUUCAACCCUCAAGCUCUGCUUGGUGUUGGGCCCUGCCCGCUGCGGCCGGCCCUAAAGACAGUGGCGGUGCCGCCUGGCCCUGAGCGUAGUACAUCUCUCGCUCCAGUGCCCGGUGGUAGCCUGCCAGAACCCCAACUCUCGUGGUUGACCUCGGAUCAGGUAGGGAUACCCGCUGAACUUAAGCAUAUCAAUAAGCGGAGGA
Molecule: unclassified non-coding RNA, 323 nt
Filed under: soil metagenome
Description: partial contains 5.8S ribosomal RNA, internal transcribed spacer 2, and large subunit ribosomal RNA
Rfam family: 5.8S ribosomal RNA (bases 1-120)
Source: RNAcentral